RNAcentral lists this ribosomal RNA (468 nucleotides) under uncultured bacterium. RNAcentral's name for it is "bacterial SSU rRNA". It matches the Rfam family "Bacterial small subunit ribosomal RNA", at positions 335 to 795 of the family's 1533-position model. The record is from RNAcentral.
ACUCCUACGGGAGGCAGCAGUGGGGAAUUUUGGACAAUGGGCGAAAGCCUGAUCCAGCAAUGCCGCGUGUGUGAAGAAGGCCUUCGGGUUGUAAAGCACUUUUGUCCGGAAAGAAAUCCGCCUGGCCAAUACCCGGGCGGGAUGACGGUACCGGAAGAAUAAGCACCGGCUAACUACGUGCCAGCAGCCGCGGUAAUACGUAGGGUGCGAGCGUUAAUCGGAAUUACUGGGCGUAAAGCGUGCGCAGGCGGUUAUGCAAGACAGGUGUGAAAUCCCCGGGCUCAACCUGGGAACUGCACUUGUGACUGCAUGACUAGAGUGCGUCAGAGGGAGGUGGAAUUCCGCGUGUAGCAGUGAAAUGCGUAGAGAUGCGGAGGAACACCGAUGGCGAAGGCAGCCUCCUGGGAUGACACUGACGCUCAUGCACGAAAGCGUGGGGAGCGAACAGGAUUAGAUACCCUGGUAGUC